AGGGGGUGGGGGCUGCCCGCAUCUUUGCCAGCUGUGCCCGCAGGUCAGACGUCUGACCCAUGUCCAGUUCGUCUUCCCCAGCAGAGCCCUCAGCCUUCAAGCCUCUGGCUCCGUCCAGGAAGCACAGAGCCUUCUCGGUAAGAGGACUGGUUGAGGAGGUGUCACACAUCUUAGGAGAAUGUUUCUUAACUUUUGCAGUGGCUGGGGGAAAUUAGUGCAGUUCUGCCCACUUGAAUUGAAAAGGGUGUUUUUGGUUGGUGGUGGUUUUUAUUCAUUUCUGCACGUCUCUCUGGGUCAGGCCCCAGGGGUCCACAGCACUGGCCACUGUAUGGCCUUGGCGAGCGCUGUGGGGUAUCUUCAAGGGUUGUCAGAGUCCUGAGACGUGCCUCCAGGUCCAGAGGCCACACAUGUCAGGGCAGGCGGCAGUGAAGUGGAGCAGAUGCGCUCAUACCACCGACUGGCGAGAAGGUUUGUUUUUUGCAUCUCAUCAGAUGGCACCAAGUAUAUUUUCAUUUAGCUGAUUUCCUGUUCUUCAGGGCUCUGACAGGGAGAGAAACGUCUUGCCCUUUUCUCUUCCACCCAAAACCUUCCCCAGAUUUAAUGCUGGAUACUUUGUGAGCCCAUUUAUUUGUGAAAAUAAAAACUAGAAAUCUCCUCUUUGAUGAUGGUUGCACAACGAUAUAAAUAUACUUAACAGACAUAACUAUACACUGCUUUAAACAGGGUUAAAAUGGUAAAUUUUAUGUAUACUUUACCACAACUUUAAAACUGGGUGGGGGGGAAUGUUUUCCCCUUUGAAAGUAAGGAGAAAGCUGACUGUUGAAAUCCGAGUCCUCUUUAUCUGUGCUGCUCCCACUUCAGGGGCCAGUCCUGCACCGCUGGCAGGGUCCGCUCCCACCUGCUCACUUCCUCCCCUGCUGCUCCAUCACUCUUCAUGUGCACUUUGGCUGCCCACGAUUGCUCUUCUGCCUGAAGUGAUCGGAGUAGAAAAGAGUUUGUCAAGUUAAGGAAUUUCUUCUUUUCUACUUCUCGAGGAUCAGUCGUCAGUUGAUAGCAUAAUAUUUAACAUUCGAAUUAGCAGAAAUCAGUAUUUACAUAAUAAGGAAAUUUUCUCUAUUUGUAGACAUUAAAAUUGCUUAUCAAUAGACUUUAUUUGUGUGACUGAUUUUGCUGAGAAAACACAAGAAGGUGUCCCCUUCUACAAGAUGGAAGGGUGACCAGCAAAAACAACCCAGUCUCAUGAACAAAAAUAUUUGCCGCUUACGCAGGUAAUACCUGCAGCUCAGCUGAUAAAGAAUCUGCCUGUAAUGCGGGAGAUCUGGGUUCAAUCCCUGGGUUGGAAAGAUCCCCUGGAGAAGGGAAAGGCUACCCACUCUUGUAUUCUGGUCUGGAGACUGUAUAGAGCGUGGGGUUUCAAAGAGUCAGACAUGACUGAGCAACUUUCACUUUUAUGUAGGUAAUACCCACUUAAGCACUGGGACCCCUGGAUCAUCACCCCUUUAAGAGACGGAGUCACGUGAACUUCUGUCCUCUUCUGGGUGCUGGUGAUGCAGGAUCAGGAAAGCUUCCCCUUUGUGGAAGGUUCACCUAUUUUAUUCAGCAUUUCUAAGAAUUCUGACACAUAAGCAUUUUCAUAUCACCUCGUCUGACCAAAAAGACUUCUUUCAUAGUACAGCAGGAAACUGAACAAAGAAAAUAUUGCUUUGUCACUCAGUCCCACGUUGCUCAUUCUGUCUCAUUUUAAGAGCCAUGAUUGAUUCUAAUUGGUCCUUAUGUCAUAUUUUCUGAACAAAUGAUCAGUUUCUGUUACACUCAGUAGAAGAAUUUCAAAUGAAUGAGCCUGCUCAGCUGACUGAGGAGUCUGAGGGGUGGUAGAUAACAUACCUGUGCUUCUGCAGCGGCUGCAGAAAACUCAAGUGAGCUGCCCUGUGUCUGUAUGUUUAUAUGUUAUUCAUCCCUGCCGCACCCCGCCCCCAUUUUAUCAGGGGACAGCUAGUGGAGAUCAGUUAGUGUCUCCAGAGAGAACCAAGAUCUCCAGACAGGCAGUGCGUCCCACACAGCUGUGUGGUAAGCUGAGGUGUCCCGGUGCGUGUCCUGCAGAAAGGUGUCUCCCCCGGGGGAAGCGAGCUGAUGCCAAGCCUCCUCGGGCUCUCCCAGGCCAAACAUCACCUUCUGUCCCUACAGUCUUUUCACAGUGGUUUUCACUCUCCUUCCUUGCAUCCCGCCCCCCCACCCCGCCCCCCGGCCACUCACAGGGUCCUUUCAGAAGUUGGAGACCCUGUCCUCUUCAGUCGGGUAUUUCCGUAAGCAUCCUUAGUUUUCUGUUGUGGUGUGUGUGUUUUACUUGUCAAGCAUUACAAGGCCGCUUAAUUUCCCUGAUCUCUUGAAGUUCUCAAUGGAAAAGAGGUACUUUACUGUUGCCCCAAGUAUUUUCAGUAGAUCCAGCAUGGAAAAGCAUCUGAAUUCGGUGAGUCAUACAUUAAGUAACUGUCUGUUACCACGUUGUGUCUGCCACCUGGUUACCAGGUGACCCGUCCCAGGGAGCUGCUGUGACCCGUGGGCCAGCUUCACGGUGCUCCCCCAACUUGUGGCUUCAUCAGGCAGAACUGAGGGCUCUGACAGCCGCCACGCAGGCCCAGGAUACCGGCUCAGGCUGGCUAUUCUCACCCGGCACCCCCAUGAACACGCAGUCCAGCUCUUGGCCAGGCCUGCACUUACCUGGCUCGUGGCUGGGGCCACAGGGCUUCCUCCCAGAGUUACUCCCAUGGCCCUGGGCUCUGUUCCAUUUGGGCUCCUCUAUGGGGUGGCUCAGUAUGUGGGGUUGGAUCCCCCUUAGGCAAGCAAUCCAGGGAGGGGAGAGAGCAGCCAGGAUGAGGAGGGUGGUGGUGG
Long non-coding RNA from Cervus elaphus (red deer), 2889 nucleotides. RefSeq lists it as uncharacterized. Lineage: Eukaryota; Metazoa; Chordata; Mammalia; Artiodactyla; Cervidae. The record is from RefSeq and is a predicted model, not a curated record. The transcript is spliced from 3 exons.